GUCUAGUAUAGCAUCUAUACGGUGAACUGCGAAUGGCUCAUUAAAUCAGUUAUCGUUUAUUUGAUAGUACCUUACUACUUGGAUAACCGUGGUAAUUCUAGAGCUAAUACAUGCUAAAAACCCCGACUUCGGAAGGGGUGUAUUUAUUAGAUAAAAAACCAAUGCCCUUCGGGGCUCCUUGGUGAUUCAUAAUAACUUAACGAAUCGCAUGGCCUUGUGCCGGCGAUGGUUCAUUCAAAUUUCUGCCCUAUCAACUUUCGAUUGUAAGGUAGUGGCUUACAAUGGUUUCAACGGGUAACGGGGAAUUAGGGUUCUAUUCCGGAGAGGGAGCCUGAGAAACGGCUACCACAUCCAAGGAAGGCAGCAGGCGCGCAAAUUACCCAAUCCCGACACGGGGAGGUAGUGACAAUAAAUACUGAUACAGGGCUCUUUUGGGUCUUGUAAUUGGAAUGAGUACAAUUUAAAUCCCUUAACGAGGAACAAUUGGAGGGCAAGUCUGGUGCCAGCAGCCGCGGUAAUUCCAGCUCCAAUAGCGUAUAUUAAAGUUGUUGCAGUUAAAAAGCUCGUAGUUGAACCUUGGGCCUGGCUGGCCGGUCCGCCUCACCGCGUGCACUGGUCCGGCCGGGCCUUUCCUUCUGGGGAGCCGCAUGCCCUUUACUGGGUGUGUCGGGGAACCAGGACUUUUACUUUGAAAAAAUUAGAGUGUUCAAAGCAGGCCUAUGCUCGAAUACAUUAGCAUGGAAUAAUAGAAUAGGACGUGUGGUUCUAUUUUGUUGGUUUCUAGGACCGCCGUAAUGAUUAAUAGGGAUAGUCGGGGGCAUCAGUAUUCAAUUGUCAGAGGUGAAAUUCUUGGAUUUAUUGAAGACUAACUACUGCGAAAGC
This 882-nucleotide ribosomal RNA is filed under the name Pezizellaceae sp. RNAcentral describes it as "SSU rRNA". It matches the Rfam family "Eukaryotic small subunit ribosomal RNA", at positions 57 to 952 of the family's 1831-position model. Lineage: Eukaryota; Fungi; Ascomycota; Leotiomycetes; Helotiales; Pezizellaceae. The record is from RNAcentral.